RNAcentral lists this microRNA (18 nucleotides) under Taeniopygia guttata (zebra finch). Its description in RNAcentral is "tgu-miR-2997-3p". The record is from miRBase by way of RNAcentral. Lineage: Eukaryota; Metazoa; Chordata; Aves; Passeriformes; Estrildidae.
CAGGAGCUUGGACAUGUU